GGAUGUGAGGGCGAUCUGGCUGCGACAUCUGUCACCCCAUUGAUCGCCAGGGUUGAUUCGGCUGAUCUGGCUGGCUAGGCGGGUGUCCCCUUCCUCCCUCACCGCUCCAUGUGCGUCCCUCCCGAAGCUGCACGCUCGGUAGAAGAGGAUGGCCUUCCCCGAAUAGAGACGGACCAAAGGGAUAAAGAAUAGGAAAGCUAUCAGUGGAGGGGAUGGGAUACGGAGUUCUGGUGGUAGAAAUUUAUGUAGAGUUGUACCCUUCUUAUCCUAUUUUUUGUCAGUGUUUCCUUUUUAUAAAUAAAAAUUAUAUUAAAAAAAGAAGAUGAGUCAAUGAAAAUCUUU
Molecule: small RNA, 342 nt
Filed under: Erinaceus europaeus (western European hedgehog)
Lineage: Eukaryota; Metazoa; Chordata; Mammalia; Eulipotyphla; Erinaceidae
Description: 7SK RNA (ENSEEUG00000016851.1)
Rfam family: 7SK RNA (bases 1-179)
About the family: 7SK was discovered as an abundant small nuclear RNA in the mid-70s but a possible function has only recently been suggested. Two independent studies have found that 7SK RNA binds the CDK9/cyclin T complex (known as elongation factor P-TEFb). P-TEFb activates transcription by phosphorylating the C-terminal domain of RNA polymerase II.
Source: RNAcentral